GUGCCAGCAGCCGCGGUAAUACGGAGGGUGCAAGCGUUAUCCGGAAUCACUGGGCUUAAAGCGUGUGUAGGCGGGCGAUCAAGUACCUUGUGAAAUCCCACGGCUCAACCGUGGAACCGCUGGGUAUACUGGUUGUCUUGAGCCGGCUAGGGGCGAGCGGAACAGACGGUGGAGCGGUGAAAUGCGUAGAUAUCGUCUGGAACGCCGAAGGUGAAAACAGCUCGCUGGGGCCGCGCUGACGCUGAGACACGAAAGCCAGGGGAGCGAACGGGAUUAGAUACCCCCGUAGUCC
Molecule: ribosomal RNA, 292 nt
Filed under: uncultured bacterium
Lineage: Bacteria
Description: partial 16S ribosomal RNA
Rfam family: Bacterial small subunit ribosomal RNA
Source: RNAcentral